UACGUAGGGUCCAAGCGUUGUCCGGAAUUAUUGGGCGUAAAGAGCUCGUAGGCGGUGUGUCGCGUCGGAUGUGAAAGCCCGGGGCUUAACCCCGGGUCUGCAUUCGGUACGGGCAUGCUGGAGUUCGGUAGGGGAGACUGGAAUUCCUGGUGUAGCGGUGAAAUGCGCAGAUAUCAGGAGGAACACCGGUGGCGAAGGCGGGUCUCUGGGCCGAUACUGACGCUGAGAAGCGAAAGCAUGGGGAGCGAACAGG
This 253-nucleotide ribosomal RNA is filed under the name uncultured bacterium. RNAcentral describes it as "partial 16S ribosomal RNA". It matches the Rfam family "Bacterial small subunit ribosomal RNA", at positions 524 to 776 of the family's 1533-position model. The record is from RNAcentral.